RNAcentral lists this ribosomal RNA (485 nucleotides) under uncultured bacterium. Its description in RNAcentral is "bacterial SSU rRNA". It matches the Rfam family "Bacterial small subunit ribosomal RNA", at positions 9 to 489 of the family's 1533-position model. The record is from RNAcentral.
GAGUUUGAUCCUGGCUCAGGAUGAACGCUGGCGGCGUGCUUAGCACAUGCAAGUCGAACGGGAAUGCCACGCUGAUGCGAUUUCGGUCAAAUCAUGUGGCAUUCGAGUGGCGGACGGGUGAGUAACGCGUGGGUAACCUGCCUUACACAGGGGGAUAACACCUGGAAACAGGUGCUAAUACCGCAUAAGCGCACAGGGCCGCAUGGCCCGGUGUGAAAAACUCCGGUGGUGUAAGAUGGACCCGCGUCUGAUUAGCUUGUUGGCGGGGUAGGGGCCCACCAAGGCGACGAUCAGUAGCCGGCCUGAGAGGGUGGACGGCCACAUUGGGACUGAGACACGGCCCAAACUCCUACGGGAGGCAGCAGUGGGGGAUAUUGGACAAUGGGGGAAACCCUGAUCCAGCGACGCCGCGUGAGUGAAGAAGUAUUUCGGUAUGUAAAGCUCUGUCAGCAGGGAAGAAAGAAAUGACGGUACCUGACCAAGAA